CUACGGGCCGCUGCAGUGAGGAAUAUUGCACAAUGGGGGGAACCCUGAUGCAGCAACGCCGCGUGGAGGAUGACGCAUUUCGGUGUGUAAACUCCUUUUAUAUGUCAAGAAAAUGACGGUAGCAUAUGAAUAAGCACCGGCUAACUCCGUGCCAGCAGCCGCGGUAAUACGGAGGGUGCAAGCGUUACUCGGAAUCACUGGGCGUAAAGGACGCGUAGGCGGGUUGGAAAGUCAGGUGUGAAAUCCUACAGCUUUACUGUAGAACUGCACUUGAAACUUCUAAUCUAGAGUAUGGGAGGGGGAGAUGGAAUUAGUGGUGUAGGGGUAAAAUCCGUAGAUAUCACUAGGAAUACCUAAAGCGAAAGCGAUCUCCUGGAACAUUACUGACGCUAAGGCGUGAAAGCGUGGGGAGCAAACAGGAUUAGAUACCCGCGUAGUC
This 439-nucleotide ribosomal RNA is filed under the name uncultured bacterium. Its description in RNAcentral is "partial 16S ribosomal RNA". It matches the Rfam family "Bacterial small subunit ribosomal RNA", at positions 339 to 795 of the family's 1533-position model. The record is from RNAcentral.